UUAUUAAUGUAAACAUCUAAGCAAAGGAAAAGAUACUAACUAGGAUUCCCUCAUUAACGGGGACUGAAGAGGGAACAGCACAGUGCCGAAUCCCAUCCAUAGGCGAGUGCAGGUAAUGUGCCAUACAGAAGACAAACUCCACUGCGUCAUUCAGGGGACUCAAGUCAUUCUGAUUGAGGCCUACCAGGUGGAUGGAGUUAUGCCGGUAGUGACACACAGCGCACCGGGAUCAGAUGUUUUCUGAGUCGUGUUGCUUGAGAAUACAGCCAAAAGCGGGUGGUAGACUAAAUCUAAGGGUAAUUAUGGGCAUGAGACCGAUAGAUAACGAGUUGAAAUUAACUUGAAGAGAGAAUUCAAGGGGAGAUGGAUCUAUCAAGAGUUAAAUGGGUGGGGUCUGUGCAGUCCACCAGGAGGAUUCAUCAUGGUGGGCAUGUAUUUCAGCUGGAACCAGUGGAUCCUCGUUUGAUACCUCCAGCUGGGCACAUCUUGCCCCAUCAGGUUGCAUUUUCUCUGUGGUGGUGUACUGCCACCAGGGUGUAGGUGGCUCUCCACCCCAGCUGAGAGUCUUACAGCCCACGGGCUGCAUUUUUGCCAUGUCUGCAGAGUGGAGGGUGAUUGAGCACUGGUGCGCUCUUCUCAAGGAAACUGUCUCGGCAUCUUUUGGGGUUCUCUGGGGAAGCAACGGGGGACAGGCUCCACUUUUACUGUUGCAUCUGUCGAUUGGGGUGGUCUGUCCUCAAUGUGCCCCACCAGGGAUUGGAGGCCCAUGAAGGCUGGCAGGGGUAUGCAGUGAUGUUGGUUACCCACCCAAACCAUCUGUAAACACGGACCAAGGAGUCUAUCAUGUACGCCAGCCAGAGAGCCCAAUAAAAUGCUGUGGCACAAUGAAGGUGAGGGCCAGCGCACAGCAGCUGAGGUGGGAUCCUGUCAGGCUAUUAUUGCGCACACACCACUGGCACCUCUCACCCACUCUGUCACCAAGCUGGAGUAUGAGCAUGUGUAAUAGGCCUGCAAGAUGGUGAACUAUGCCUGGGCACGGCAAAGCUAGAUCGAACUCUUGUGGAGAUGUGUAGCGGUCUUGGCAUGCAAAUUGGUCAUCCCACCUGACUAUUGGGGGGAAAGACUAAUCGAACCAUCUAAUAGGUGGUUCCCUCCGAAGUUUCACUCAGGAUAGCUGGCAUUUGGAUACCACAGUUAUAUGUGGUAAAGCAAAUUAUUGGAGGUCUUGGGGCCAAAACAAUCUCAACCUAGUCUCAAACUUCAAGGGCUAGUUGAUUGGAAAAGGAGCCUAGCUCACUGGCAUGGAGCAGGCAUUGUAUGCCAGUGCCUAGUGUGCGACUGGUCCGGCAGGAUGAACCAAACACCAGGUUAAGGCACACAUUGCUGAUGCUCAUCGGACCCUAGAAAAUGUGUUGGUUGAUAUAGACAGCAGAACAGUAGCCAUGGAAUGCAGAAUCUGCUAACGAGUGUGUAACAACUCAUCUGCCAAAUCAACUAGUCCUUGCAAUGAAUUGCGCUGGAGUAGUGGGCCCAUACCUGGCUGUCACCGGUGGUGAGUGCUGUGCGUGCUAAGCCACAACAAGUAGGUGGGGUGCUUCGAUACACAUUGUAGAACAGGGUGAAGCCACUGCAGGUGCAGAUAUUGAUAGUAGCAGCUAAUAUUCUGAAAAGAACUUUGAAGGCUGAAGUGGAGAAGGGUAACAUGUGAACAGCUGUUGAACAUGGGUCAGUCAUUCUUAAGAGAUGAGCGAGCUCUGUUCGGAAGGGACAGGCAAUGGCCUAUGUUAUGCUCAGCCGAUCGAAAGGGAGCUGUGUUCAUAUCUCCGUCCCCUGAGUGGUGGAGAUGUGCACCCUCUCGGCAUGCAUUGCAGUAAUGCAAAUAUUCUGGAAAAUCUGGCAGGUGCCCCGAGAAAAUGUCUAUUUUCUUUGUGAAGGGCAGGGCACCCUGGAAUGAAUUUGCCCUGAGAGAGGCUCUCAAGCUCCGGAGACAUUGGCAGGUGGGGAGAUUGACUAGGGCAGUACACCUGCAAAACAGCAAUGCAGAUGUCCUAAGGCAAGCUCUGGGAGGACAGAAACCUCCCACGGAGCUGAAGGCCAGAAGCUUGAUGGAUCUCUAUUGUCAGUAGGAAUAGCAACCGUGAAAGUGGGGCCUCACGAUCCUUCUGACUGGGGUUUUAAACAGCGGUCUCAGCAUAUUACCAAAGGAAUAACUGCCUUGUGGUAGCCUAGCAUUCAAAGCGACAUAGCAUUUUUUUUACUUAUAUCUUGGCUCUUCCUAUCAUUGUGAAGCAGAAUUCACCAAACGUUGGAUUGUUCACCCACUAAUGUGGAAAGUUAAACUGAGCUGGGUUUAGACCGUCAUGUGACCAGUUAGUUUUACUGUACUGAUGAUGAGUUGCUGCAAUAAUAAUCAUGUUCUGUAUGAGAGAAACCACAUGUUCAGACAGUUGGUGUGUGUUCUUGGCUGAGGAGCCAAUAUUGUGAAGCUGCCAUCUGUGGGCUUAUGACUGAAUGCCUUUAAGACAGAAUCCCCCCUAAACUGUAAUGGUACCGCAGCGAUGUGGAGUAUCAGUUGGACUCAGAUAGCCAGCCUCUGGGGCAGUGUAUUGAGCUGCUUGCCUCAGGACUUGAGUGUGGACAGAAGAGGGUAAACUCUCUUGACCAUAGUGCACAACAUGUUAGUG
Molecule: ribosomal RNA, 2684 nt
Filed under: Ambystoma mexicanum (axolotl)
Lineage: Eukaryota; Metazoa; Chordata; Amphibia; Caudata; Ambystomatidae
Description: eukaryotic LSU rRNA
Rfam family: Eukaryotic large subunit ribosomal RNA
Source: RNAcentral